RNAcentral lists this transfer RNA (76 nucleotides) under Candidatus Latescibacterota bacterium. RNAcentral's name for it is "tRNA-Ala". It matches the Rfam family "tRNA". From Rfam's summary of the family: Transfer RNA (tRNA) molecules are approximately 80 nucleotides in length. Their secondary structure includes four short double-helical elements and three loops (D, anti-codon, and T loops). Lineage: Bacteria; Pseudomonadati; Candidatus Latescibacterota. The record is from RNAcentral. RNAcentral also lists the same sequence under 1 other name.
GGGGCAGUAGCUCAGUUGGGAGAGCGCGGCGUUUGCAACGCUGAGGUCGUCGGUUCGAUCCCGAUCUGCUCCACCA